UCAGACAUGGUGUAGCGGUAACACGGCCUCUUUCUGUACCAAAAACAGUUUGUACGGUGAGGCGGUCCUGGGUUCAAACCCCAGUGUCUGAG
This is a non-coding RNA of Mycena crocata, 92 nucleotides long. Lineage: Eukaryota; Fungi; Basidiomycota; Agaricomycetes; Agaricales; Mycenaceae. The record is from the annotation of a GenBank genome assembly.